AUACGGAGGGUGCAAGCGUUAUCUGGAUUCACUGGGUUUAAAGGGUGCGUAGGCGGGCAGAUAAGUCAGUGGUGAAAUCUUCGAGCUUAACUCGGAAACUGCCGUUGAUACUAUUUGUCUUGAAUAUUGUGGAGGUAAGCGGAAUAUGUCAUGUAGCGGUGAAAUGCUUAGAUAUGACAUAGAACACCAAUUGCGAGGGCAGCUUACUACACAAUGAUUGACGCUGAGGCACGAAAGCGUGGGGAUCAAACAGGAUUAGAUACCCUGGUAGUCCACGCCCUAAACGAUGAUUACUCGACAUACGCGAUAUACUGUGUGUGUCUGAGCGAAAGCAUUAAGUAAUCCACCUGGGAAGUACGAUCGCAAGAUUGAA
This 373-nucleotide ribosomal RNA is filed under the name uncultured bacterium. RNAcentral's name for it is "bacterial SSU rRNA". It matches the Rfam family "Bacterial small subunit ribosomal RNA", at positions 523 to 898 of the family's 1533-position model. The record is from RNAcentral.